UGGCCGUUCGCGUGGCCGUCUGUUUUAUCGAAGAUGGGAUCGUUCCAAGCCUUCCUAGCCACAAGUAAUGGUCCGUGAUGUGGGUAGUCAAAGGACUCCUCUUCCUCAUCAAAGAUAGGACCAAGAUCCUCCUUGUCUUCUUGUUCAUCCUCGGACUCAACUUCACCAUUUUCCAAGAGAAUCAUCACACGCUGGUUUGGACAGUUCUUGGCAUAAUGUCCUAGCCCUUGACAUUUGAAACAUCUAAUGUCUCUUGCUCGGCUUGAGUCGUCUACUGCUUUUCCUUUGUCAUCACGAGUGGAAACAUCAG
Molecule: long non-coding RNA, 310 nt
Filed under: Brassica napus (rape)
Lineage: Eukaryota; Viridiplantae; Streptophyta; Magnoliopsida; Brassicales; Brassicaceae
Description: long non-coding RNA (BNAP_LNC000461)
Source: RNAcentral